This 1499-nucleotide long non-coding RNA is filed under the name Homo sapiens (human). RNAcentral describes it as "HSALNT0141222". Lineage: Eukaryota; Metazoa; Chordata; Mammalia; Primates; Hominidae. The record is from RNAcentral.
CCAGGUCACUGCAGCAGCCUCAAACUGUGGAGGCUGUGCAUGUUUCAAAGCCAUUUCCCACAUUGCUGGCAGGAUGAUCUUCCUGAAGCACAAAUCUGACCUACUGCCAUUUGCCAAAACAAGGUGGUGGGAGCAAGAAUGCUCAUGUGUUGGUUACCAAGACAAAUAACCCUGAGGCUUCAGGAGUCUGGGAGUUUGAAACUUGAAGAUACUAGAAGACAACAGGCAUCCAAGCUCAAAAUAAUGAAACUGGAGUGGAAGCCUCAGACACACCUACCAGCUGACACUGCCUUCACCCUUGCUUGCAAUUUGACCCUGAAAAUUCAGGGAAAUGGGAGUGACAGUUCACCCCUACAGGACAAGAAUAGUUUUCUUUAUUUUUUAAAUAAUAUUUUUAUUUAUUUUAUUUUUUUAGAUGGAGUUUUGCUCUUGUCACCCAGGCUGGAGUGCAAUAGUGCGACUCGGCUCCCUGCAACCUCUGCCUCCCAGGUUCAAGUGAUUCUCCUGCUUCAGCCUCCCGAGUAGCUGGGAUUACAGGCGCCUGCCACCAUGCCCAGCUAAUUUUUGUAUUUUUAGUAGAGACAGGGUUUCACCACAUUGGCCAGGCUGGUCUGAAACUCCUGACCUCAGGUGAUCCACCCGCCUCAGCCUCCCAAAGUGCUGGGAUUAUAGGCGUGAGCCACUGCACCCAGCCAAGAAUAGUUUCCUAGUGUAACCAACGACUCUUACUCUUUCUGGUUGGGUACAAUGAACUCCCUGAGUGGUAUCCUAAGAUCCACCACCUGAGGCCCCUCAUGCCUCCAUUAGCAGGAAGACCAAAUUUUGUCCCACCAGCUCAUCUUUCAUGAUAUUCCAGAGCCCCAGAGGGCUUCCCCCGUACAAUGGGUCAGUCCUGUCACUGUUCCCUCUUAGGAAGAUACCAGAAGUGUGGACAUUCCAUCAAAGAGACCUCUUCUCUGCUGUUGUUACCACUGCAUGCUGUAACUAGAAGUCAAGCAUCUCUGCGCAGUCCUGCUUACUUAAGAAAAACCCCAUGUCUUCUUUAGCAACUUCAAGAUUCAUGUAUCAGUGAUUAUUGGGAAGAACUGACCUCCUCCAGCUUUCCUGGAGCUGCAGCUCCUUCCUCUGUGUUUCUAUAGUAUGCUUUUAAGCCACACCUCUUUGGCAGCACUUUCCACAUAGUCUUGUUCUUUACAUUUAUCUGCCCAUCUUUGUGAGCGCUCAGAACAUGUAUAGUGCCUAGUUGGUAGAGGGGGUAAAUAUGGGUUGAAUAAAUGAAUGACUGAAUGCUACCUUAAGAAAUAUCUAGAAACCUUGCUUAUAUUCAUACAGACCUGGAAGUGAGUAAAGGAGAAAUCUGGGGAGUAAAAGCAGGCUAAAAUCUUCAAGUUGCAUAAAAAGCGUCAAAAGAUGCUAUUUAAGGCCUGGCGCAGUGGCUCACACCUGUAAUCCCAGCACUUUGGGAGGCCGAGGCAGGCAGAUCACUAGGUCAGGAGAUC